GUCGAACGAUGAAACUCUAGCUUGCUAGAGAAGAUUAGUGGCGGACGGGUGAGUAACAUUUAGGAAUCUGCCUAGUAGUGGGGGAUAGCUCGGGGAAACUCGAAUUAAUACCGCAUACGACCUACGGGUGAAAGGGGGCGCAAGCUCUUGCUAUUAGAUGAGCCUAAAUCAGAUUAGCUAGUUGGUGGGGUAAAGGCCCACCAAGGCGACGAUCUGUAACUGGUCUGAGAGGAUGAUCAGUCACACCGGAACUGAGACACGGUCCGGACUCCUACGGGAGGCAGCAGUGGGGAAUAUUGGACAAUGGGGGCAACCCUGAUCCAGCCAUGCCGCGUGUGUGAAGAAGGCCUUUUGGUUGUAAAGCACUUUAAGCAGGGAGGAGAGGCUAAUGGUUAAUACCCAUUAGAUUAGACGUUACCUGCAGAAUAAGCACCGGCUAACUCUGUGCCAGCAGCCGCGGUAAUACAGAGGGUGCGAGCGUUAAUCGGAAUUACUGGGCGUAAAGCGAGUGUAGGUGGCUCAUUAAGUCACAUGUGAAAUCCCCGGGCUUAACCUGGGAACUGCAUGUGAUACUGGUGGUGCUAGAAUAUGUGAGAGGGAAGUAGAAUUCCAGGUGUAGCGGUGAAAUGCGUAGAGAUCUGGAGGAAUACCGAUGGCGAAGGCAGCUUCCUGGCAUAAUAUUGACACUGAGAUUCGAAAGCGUGGGUAGCAAACAGGAUUAGAUACCCUGGUAGUCCACGCCCGUAAAAC
RNAcentral lists this ribosomal RNA (750 nucleotides) under Faucicola osloensis. RNAcentral describes it as "bacterial SSU rRNA". It matches the Rfam family "Bacterial small subunit ribosomal RNA", at positions 61 to 808 of the family's 1533-position model. Lineage: Bacteria; Pseudomonadati; Pseudomonadota; Gammaproteobacteria; Moraxellales; Moraxellaceae. The record is from RNAcentral.